RNAcentral lists this ribosomal RNA (443 nucleotides) under uncultured bacterium. Its description in RNAcentral is "bacterial SSU rRNA". It matches the Rfam family "Bacterial small subunit ribosomal RNA", at positions 33 to 459 of the family's 1533-position model. The record is from RNAcentral.
AACGACGCUGGCGGCGUGCUUAACACAUGCAAGUCGAACGCGAAAGGGGCUUCGGUCCUGAGUAGAGUGGCGCACGGGUGAGUAACGCGUAGAUAACCUGUCCUGGUGUCUGGAAUAACGUCUCGAAAGGGGCACUAAUACCGGAUAUUCUUGCUUUCUUCAAGGUAUGCAAGGAAAGGUGGCCUCUGGAACAAGCUACUGCACGAGGAGGGGUCUGCGUACCAUUAGCUAGUAGGUGGGGUAAUGGCCUACCUAGGCGACGAUGGUUAGCGGGUCUGAGAGGAUGAUCCGCCACACUGGCACUGGAAUACGGGCCAGACUCCUACGGGAGGCAGCAGUGAGGAAUAUUGCGCAAUGGGGGCAACCCUGACGCAGCGACGCCGCGUGAGUGAGGAAGGCCUUCGGGUCGUAAAGCUCUGUCAAGAGGGAAGAAGUGCAUGGUG